RNAcentral lists this ribosomal RNA (1287 nucleotides) under metagenome. Its description in RNAcentral is "bacterial LSU rRNA". It matches the Rfam family "Bacterial large subunit ribosomal RNA", at positions 1623 to 2925 of the family's 2925-position model. The record is from RNAcentral.
AUCGCCCUUUAAUAAGUGCCCGUACCGAUAACCGACACAGGUAGGCGAGGAGAGAAUCCUAAGAUGAGCGAGAGAACUCUUGUUAAGGAACUCGGCAAAAUGACCCCGUAACUUCGGGAGAAGGGGUGCUUGUGAAAGCAAGCCGCAGUGAAUAGGCCCAGGCGACUGUUUAUCAAAAACACAGGUCUCUGCUAAACCGCAAGGUGAUGUAUAGGGGCUGACGCCUGCCCGGUGCUGGAAGGUUAAGAGGAGAGGUUAGCGCAAGCGAAGCUUUGAAUUGAAGCCCCAGUAAACGGCGGCCGUAACAAUAACGGUCCUAAGGUAGCGAAAUUCCUUGUCGGGUAAGUUCCGACCCGCACGAAAGGCGUAACGAUCUGGGCGCUGUCUCAACAAGAGACUCGGUGAAAUCAUAGUACCUGUGAAGAUGCAGGUUACCCGCGACAGGACGGAAAGACCCCGUGGAGCUUUACUGUAGCUUGAUAUUGAGCACUGGUGGCACAUGUACAGGAUAGGCAGGAGACGAAGAAACCAGGACGCCAGUCUUGGUGGAGUCGCUGUUGGGAUACUACCCUUGUGUCACUGGGGUUCUAACCCGUGGCCCUUAUCGGGUCAGGGAACAGUGUCAGGUGGGCAGUUUGACUGGGGCGGUCGCCUCCCAAAGAGUAACGGAGGCGCCCAAAGGUUCCCUCAGAAUGGUUGGAAAUCAUUCGAAGAGUGUAAAGGCAGAAGGGAGCUUGACUGCGAGACCUACAAGUCGAGCAGGGACGAAAGUCGGGCUUAGUGAUCCGGCGGUACCGAAUGGAAGGGCCGUCGCCCAACGGAUAAAAGCUACCCCGGGGAUAACAGGCUGAUCUCCCCCAAGAGUUCACAUCGACGGGGAGGUUUGGCACCUCGAUGUCGGCUCAUCGCAUCCUGGGGCUGUAGUCGGUCCCAAGGGUUGGGCUGUUCGCCCAUUAAAGCGGUACGCGAGCUGGGUUCAGAGCGUCGUGAGACAGUUCGGUCCCUAUCCGUCGUGGGCGUAGGAAAUUUGAGAGGAGCUGUCCUUAGUACGAGAGGACCGGGAUGGACACACCGCUGGUUUACCAGUUGUUCUGCCAGGAGCAUAGCUGGGUAGCUACGUGUGGACGGGAUAAACGCUGAAAGCAUCUAAGCGUGAAGCCCCCCUCAAGAUGAGAUUUCCCAUUCGAAAGAAGUAAGAUCCCUUGAAGACGACGAGGUUGAUAGGUCAGGAGUGGAAGUGUGGUGACACAUGGAGCGGACUGAUACUAAUCGAUCGAGGACUUAAUC